RNAcentral lists this transfer-messenger RNA (273 nucleotides) under Lachnospiraceae bacterium. RNAcentral describes it as "partial transfer-messenger RNA". It matches the Rfam family "transfer-messenger RNA", at positions 82 to 374 of the family's 374-position model. From Rfam's summary of the family: Bacterial tmRNA, also known as 10Sa RNA or SsrA, is named for its dual tRNA and mRNA-like properties. Its role is to liberate the mRNA from a stalled ribosome. To accomplish this part of the tmRNA is used as a reading frame that ends in a translation stop signal. The record is from RNAcentral. Lineage: Bacteria; Bacillati; Bacillota; Clostridia; Lachnospirales; Lachnospiraceae.
AAUUAAACGCUGAAGACAAUUUAGCAUUCGCAGCUUAAUAGCUGCUGUCUGACCUAGUGCACCUACACAUUAGGACCCAGGCAUCGAUUAUGUGGGAAACGACACAUACUAAGCUUUGCGUAUGUGGGCGUAUGAUGAAGCUACUGACUGCAUGGGGGCGUUGAUUCGCCUGUGCAGAAGGGAACUGGAUUUUGUCCGGAACAAUCAACUAAACCUGUAGAAGUACAUGGGAUGGUUUUUUGGACACGGGUUCGACUCCCGUCUACUCCAUUC